GAUGAACGCUGGCGGCGUGCCUAAUACAUGCAAGUCGAGCGAACAGACGAGGAGCUUGCUCCUCUGACGUUAGCGGCGGACGGGUGAGUAACACGUGGAUAACCUACCUAUAAGACUGGGAUAACUUCGGGAAACCGGAGCUAAUACCGGAUAAUAUAUUGAACCGCAUGGUUCAAUAGUGAAAGACGGUUUUGCUGUCACUUAUAGAUGGAUCCGCGCCGCAUUAGCUAGUUGGUAAGGUAACGGCUUACCAAGGCAACGAUGCGUAGCCGACCUGAGAGGGUGAUCGGCCACACUGGAACUGAGACACGGUCCAGACUCCUACGGGAGGCAGCAGUAGGGAAUCUUCCGCAAAGGGCGAAAGCCUGACGGAGCAACGCCGCGUGAGUGAUGAAGGUCUUCGGAUCGUAAGACUCUGUUAUUAGGGAAGAACAAAUGUGUAAGUAACUAUGCACGUCUUGACGGUACCUAAUCAGAAAGCCACGGCUAACUACGUG
Molecule: ribosomal RNA, 497 nt
Filed under: uncultured bacterium
Lineage: Bacteria
Description: partial 16S ribosomal RNA
Rfam family: Bacterial small subunit ribosomal RNA
Source: RNAcentral